GUUCACCUGUGUCUUGUCUGCCCUGCUUGUAUAUAAGUCUUGUCUCUGCCUUCCUCUUGUGCUGGUCCAUUAACUUCUGGUCAUGUGUUUCACUUCCUCUGGUCUUAGCGUCCUUGUUCAAUGUGUCUCGUCACGUCACAGUUUCAGGGUGCGAGGGGCUGUAGGCCAGCAGGAGAGUGUAAACAAAAGGAUGAUGGGAAGUUGGGGAAGACUUACUCCACGUCAACUGUUCCACCUCCAACACCAAGCAUUUUUAGGGGAGUCUGCAUUUGUCCCACCUGGUUGACACUAUUCUUCCCCUUUGUUCAACUCAAGACUUGAAUUUUCCUGCAGCUACAAAGGUUGGUAUCUGGUUCAGGGGUUUGCGGUGUGGUUUUACUGAAAGCAUCCCAUCAAAAACAGACCCCUCUUCAGGGUGUUUCCAUGUAAAGAGUCUGCAUGGGGCAGCUG
Molecule: long non-coding RNA, 450 nt
Organism: Oryzias latipes (Japanese medaka)
Lineage: Eukaryota; Metazoa; Chordata; Actinopteri; Beloniformes; Adrianichthyidae
Source: RefSeq, a predicted model, not a curated record